AGAAGUGUUACAACAGCAGUUGUCUGAUUCUGAAAAUGCGGAAUGUACAUAUGACCAGUCGUUUGAGGAAGAUCCAUUCAUGAACUCGUAUGGAGUGAGUCAGCUUGAUACAGAUCAAAAUAGCAGUGCUGAGAUGACAUCUAUUAAAAGACAUUUGGAAAAUAUCC
Elgaria multicarinata webbii is the source of this 167-nucleotide long non-coding RNA. RefSeq lists it as uncharacterized. The transcript has 3 exons. The record is from RefSeq and is a predicted model, not a curated record. Lineage: Eukaryota; Metazoa; Chordata; Lepidosauria; Squamata; Anguidae.